GGCUGGAUAACAUAAUUGGUAAUGUACAAGAUUGCAAAUUUUGUAAUGUCGGUUCAAAUCCGUCUCUAGCUU
Molecule: transfer RNA, 72 nt
Filed under: Vischeria cf. polyphem
Lineage: Eukaryota; Eustigmatophyceae; Eustigmatales; Chlorobotryaceae
Description: Eustigmatos cf. polyphem tRNA-Cys
Rfam family: tRNA
About the family: Transfer RNA (tRNA) molecules are approximately 80 nucleotides in length. Their secondary structure includes four short double-helical elements and three loops (D, anti-codon, and T loops).
Source: RNAcentral